RNAcentral lists this microRNA precursor (129 nucleotides) under Schistosoma mansoni. Its description in RNAcentral is "microRNA sma-mir-8458 precursor". Lineage: Eukaryota; Metazoa; Platyhelminthes; Trematoda; Strigeidida; Schistosomatidae. The record is from miRBase by way of RNAcentral.
UCUCUGAUGGGCCCCAAAUAAGACGAAUUAAAUUCCAGUGAUAGCCACUAUCCAUCUCCGUUCAAAAAUACCUUUGACUGGUGGCAAUAACUAGGUAGUUUAGAUAACUUAAAAGAGGCUCAUCAAUUG